RNAcentral lists this ribosomal RNA (309 nucleotides) under uncultured eukaryote. RNAcentral describes it as "partial 18S ribosomal RNA". It matches the Rfam family "Eukaryotic small subunit ribosomal RNA", at positions 1470 to 1796 of the family's 1831-position model. The record is from RNAcentral.
CCCUUAGAUGUUCUGGGCGGCCCGCGCACUACAUUGGCACUGGCAACAAGAUCCUAGAUCUGAUAUUUCGGGGUAUUCUACCAACUGGUGUCGUGACUGGGAUUAACCCCUGCAAUUAUUGGUUAUGAACGAGGAAUUCCUUGUAAUCACGGUUUAUCAACCCGUGUUGAAUGCGUCCCUGCCCUUUGUACACACCGCCCGUCGCUCCUACCGAUGAAUCGUCCGGUGAAGUUCAUGGAGUCGCGGCUGCUCCAGCUGUCUUCGAAGUGAAAUGGACCUCAUGAUUUAGAGGAAGGAGAANUCGUAACA